Pieris rapae (cabbage white) is the source of this 388-nucleotide long non-coding RNA. RefSeq lists it as uncharacterized. The record is from RefSeq and is a predicted model, not a curated record. Lineage: Eukaryota; Metazoa; Arthropoda; Insecta; Lepidoptera; Pieridae. The transcript is spliced from 3 exons.
GGUUGCUCUUAGGCAACAGAAUUGGUAUGGUGUGUCAUGGUCGUCUUUUUGUGGUGGAUCUUUAAUUACACUGAGACAUGUACUAACUGCGGCGCAUUGCUUUAUAUUUUCAGAUAAAGGAACUAUGAAAAAUCUCAAUACCGUCAGAGUGGUUGCUGGGACAAUAGAUAAGUCUGCAUUGAUAAUUCUAUUCAAACCUGCGCAUGAGCACUGGAGGCGAAUACAACAUUUUUAUAAACAUGAACACUAUAAUCACACGUAUUUAAAACAUGAUAUUGCUAUAUUGCAGGUAUCGAAAGACUUCAUCGUAACAGAAACAGUUCACCCAAUUCGUUUAUAUUCAGCAAAUGAAGACAAAUUACAAGCAAAUGAUUUAUGUCUGGUUUCG